RNAcentral lists this unclassified non-coding RNA (241 nucleotides) under Glomus sp. Its description in RNAcentral is "partial contains 5.8S ribosomal RNA and internal transcribed spacer 2". The stretch from base 1 to 65 matches the Rfam family "5.8S ribosomal RNA", at positions 84 to 154 of the family's 154-position model. The record is from RNAcentral. Lineage: Eukaryota; Fungi; Glomeromycota; Glomeromycetes; Glomerales; Glomeraceae.
GUGAAUCAUCAAAUUUUUGAACGCAAAUCGCACUCUCCUCGGAGAGUAUGCCUGUUUGAGGGUCAGCCUAAAAAAAAAAUCGACAUCGUUGCUGUUUCGCGGUUACGUUAGUGGGAAAUUGGUUCAUUUUAAACUUUUUGGUUUUUAAGCGUUUUAAAAUUUUUUUUUGACCCCUUGAACGUUUCUAAGAUUUUUAUUUUUACACGUUUAAGGGUAUGGAUUUUAUUAAACGGGGCCGUAA